Molecule: ribosomal RNA, 253 nt
Filed under: uncultured bacterium
Lineage: Bacteria
Description: partial 16S ribosomal RNA
Rfam family: Bacterial small subunit ribosomal RNA
Source: RNAcentral
GACAGAGGGUGCAAACGUUGUUCGGAAUUACUGGGCGUAAAGCGCGUGUAGGCGGCUUGGCAAGUCGGAUGUGAAAGCCCUGGGCUCAACCUAGGAAGUGCACUCGAAACUGCAGAGCUUGAGUCUCGGAGAGGAUCGCGGAAUUCUCGGUGUAGAGGUGAAAUUCGUAGAUAUCGAGAGGAACACCGGUGGCGAAGGCGGCGAUCUGGACGAUGACUGACGCUGAGACGCGAAAGCGUGGGGAGCAAACAGG